GAUGAAGAACGCAGCGAAAUGCGAUACUUGGUGUGAAUUGCAGAAUCCCGUGAACCAUCGAGUCUUUGAACGCAAGUUGCGCCCGAAGCCAUUAGGCCGAGGGCACGCCUGCCUGGGUGUCACACGUCGUUGCCCCCCCAUCUACUCCUUCGGGAUUGCGGGGGGCGGAUGAUGGCCUCCCGUGCGCCUCGUCGCGCGGUUGGCAUAAAUGCCAAGUCCUCGGCGACGCACGCCACGACAAUCGGUGGUUGCGAAACCUCGGUUGCCCGUCGUGUGCGGUCGUCGCGCAUCGAGGGCUCGAAAAAAUUGCCGGGCUCCGGCUCGGCUUUCAACGCGACCCCAGGUCAGGCGGGAUUACCCGCUGAAUUUAAGCAUAUCAAUAAGCGGAGGA
Molecule: unclassified non-coding RNA, 391 nt
Filed under: soil metagenome
Description: partial contains 5.8S ribosomal RNA, internal transcribed spacer 2, and large subunit ribosomal RNA
Rfam family: 5.8S ribosomal RNA (bases 1-122)
Source: RNAcentral